This 468-nucleotide ribosomal RNA is filed under the name uncultured bacterium. RNAcentral describes it as "partial 16S ribosomal RNA". It matches the Rfam family "Bacterial small subunit ribosomal RNA", at positions 28 to 507 of the family's 1533-position model. The record is from RNAcentral.
GACGAACGCUGGCGGCGUGCUUAACACAUGCAAGUCGAGCGGAAAGGCCCUGCUUUUGUGGGGUGCUCGAGUGGCGAACGGGUGAGUAACACGUGAGUAACCUGCCCUUGACUUUGGGAUAACUUCAGGAAACUGGGGCUAAUACCGGAUAGGAGCUCCUGCUGCAUGGUGGGGGUUGGAAAGUUUCGGCGGUUGGGGAUGGACUCGCGGCUUAUCAGCUUGUUGGUGGGGUAGUGGCUUACCAAGGCUUUGACGGGUAGCCGGCCUGAGAGGGUGACCGGCCACAUUGGGACUGAGAUACGGCCCAGACUCCUACGGGAGGCAGCAGUGGGGAAUAUUGCACAAUGGGCGGAAGCCUGAUGCGGCAAUGCCGCGUGCGGGAUGACGGCCUUCGGGUUGUAAACCGCUUUCGCCUGUGACGAAGCGUGAGUGACGGUAAUGGGUAAAGAAGCACCGGCUAACUACGUG